CGUUGUUGGGAAAUGUUUGCAGUUUUGUUUUUGUUUGGGAGUUGUUUUGUGUGGUGGAGUGUAAUUGUUUGUUUGUUGUGUAGAGUUGAGAGUGUUAGAAUAUUUAGAGGUUCUGGCCAUUUCACUGAAGGAAAAAAGAAUUGUGUGAAGCGGUGGAGAAGGUGGCAUUCAGUCAUUAACGUGUCUUUUAGAGAUGGAAGGUCAACUCAUGUUGGCGGUGGCGAGAGGUGAUGUUGAGUCAGCAACGCGUCUUUUGGAUAUGCAAAUUGACAUCAAUGCACGUGGUGGUUACCUUGGGGUAUGUGUUGUGAGUUAUAAUGUGUGUAUUGGAUGUUGAAAUGAACUGCACGUCGUUUGGUCUCAAAAUAGAGCAUUCUUCUGAUACAAUCGUGUAGGAAGAAGAACAAAGAGAUGGUUGAGUUGCUGCUCACUAAAUCACCAGAUGUUAAUGGGACUGACUGGAAUGGAGACACAGCUUUGAUUGUAUU
Corticium candelabrum is the source of this 488-nucleotide long non-coding RNA. RefSeq lists it as uncharacterized. The record is from RefSeq and is a predicted model, not a curated record. The transcript is spliced from 3 exons. NCBI's taxonomy places the organism in Eukaryota, Metazoa, Porifera, Homoscleromorpha, Homosclerophorida, Plakinidae.